GCCUCCGUGGCGCAAUCGGCUAGCGCGUUCGGCUGUUAACCGAAAGGUUGGUGGUUCGAGCCCACCCGGGGGUG
This 74-nucleotide transfer RNA is filed under the name Schistocerca americana (American grasshopper). RNAcentral's name for it is "tRNA-Asn". It matches the Rfam family "tRNA". Rfam says of the family: Transfer RNA (tRNA) molecules are approximately 80 nucleotides in length. Lineage: Eukaryota; Metazoa; Arthropoda; Insecta; Orthoptera; Acrididae. RNAcentral also lists the same sequence under 1 other name. The record is from RNAcentral.